Molecule: non-coding RNA, 911 nt
Organism: Prunus mume (Japanese apricot)
Lineage: Eukaryota; Viridiplantae; Streptophyta; Magnoliopsida; Rosales; Rosaceae
Source: RefSeq, a predicted model, not a curated record
GGAAAGUCGUAUGUCUGUAUAAAAUAGUCCUUUCGCUCUGAGGGUGUGUGAAGUGAAAAACCCUAACUAGCCACAGAGUAUCCUCACUACGCUCACCCUGCCGCCCUCCUCUCUCUUCUCUCAGUUUCUUCACUUCUUCUCCCGAGUGAAGGUUCGGCUUGGGGUUUGGUUUUAGAGGUUUCCUCUCUUUUUCUCUCCCGCUGACCCAGUAUGGAUGGGAAAGGAUCCGCUUCAGCAAGUGGUAGUGCGCUACGGACUGUUGAUUUGAAUGUUCUACUUGGGAGGCGUACGCUGAAUAAGUUCUUAGAGACAGAGAAUUCCUUUGAUAAUAAUAAAAUCACUCCCAUUUAUCAGAGAAUUUUUAGGUCAGUUUAUUUUAUUUAUCAGAAAGGCAUGCGUAUAUAUUAUUAACUGUGUGUGUGGGUGUUUUUUUUAUACUCCAGAUCUCUCAUUGGGGCUAUUUCUGAACUCGAGUCAAGAGGGAUCACUCGUGGUUACCUCCAGCCCCAUCAAAUCAUGGUUGGUGGUGGCCCAGGCUUGGCCGUUACCUAGACCAGAGGAGGACAAUCCGACCGCGCCUACCUACAGAAAGGAGUUUGAUUCCCUAGUACGGAAGAUCCUUGGUGAACGAGACUUCUCGAACUUGGAGUUGAAUCAUUUUCUCCACAUCACAGCUUCUGCUGCUUCUGGACGACAGAGUUUGUAAGCAAAUUCAAUUUUAGGCAACUCCAAUGGCAUCCAAUACUGUUGUCAUCUGCUGAAUUGCCCCAGUUAGUAUACCAUCUGUUUCUUCAUCUCGACAUGAAGGGAACAUCAAGCUGGAAAGAGGACUUCAGACGGAUGAUACAGAGGGAUGUUGAGGUUAGGGGCACAGUGCUUGGGGUGGAUUACUUCUCAGAUGUUUACAACUU